Culex pipiens pallens (northern house mosquito) is the source of this 1281-nucleotide long non-coding RNA. RefSeq lists it as uncharacterized. The record is from RefSeq and is a predicted model, not a curated record. NCBI's taxonomy places the organism in Eukaryota, Metazoa, Arthropoda, Insecta, Diptera, Culicidae. The transcript is spliced from 3 exons.
GAUUGUGUGAGGUUCAAUCGACAGGCGCGCGAAUAGUGAAAAAUUCGGGCCUAUUUUCCGUGUUUCGUCGAGAAUUCAGCAGUGGGAAACGCAGCGGAUGUGGCCAAGUUCCUAUUUGGUACCCAGGGUGCCCGUGACUACGAAGAUGGAUGAUGCCGAGCUAGUUGCGCUUGCCGAGGGGUGCACAUCUCGGAGUACGAUUUGCACGACGGCCGGAGUACCGUUUCCGGGGUUGACGCCGUCAAUGAUGCCGCAGGAUAUACUGGGGCAGCCAAAUCCGAACGAGCCGACGAACCAUGAGGUGGACCAUUGCAGAAGAAGCUGAAAUCGGAGACUACAUAUCAGGAUUGUCAUCUCCGUCGAUCAGGAUUGAAAGCUCCUUCGAACUACGCACUCAUGACGUCCAAGCGAAUCGAAAAGGACCUGCUCCGUGGUCGGUUUAAUCGCGUGCUUCAGCUGCCCAGCAGUAUCGGAGUUCCGUAAUUACUUCGGAUCUUGUACUGACCUGGUUUCUGACCCUACUCUUCUAGGUCGUCCAGGUCGUCCUUUUCCAGCUGACGGAUCAGAUCAAGGUCAAGAUCAAGGAACAGUCUGGAGAAUGUGGAAAGUUCCGCCAGGAUGUUCAAUCCGCAUUUUGACAUUUCGGCCGAUUCGAUGAUGGUGAUCGAAACGCACCGCCGGCGUCACCUGGCCUAUCGGAUGCCUAACAGGGUGAGCGGUUCUCAAGCUGUGCGAUUUAUUUAUGAAACUUACAGUAGCUAGCGAUAAGAAUGUAGCUGCCGCCCGAACCAGAUUGUAUCCCGGGCUGGAAACAGGCAGCGGCCGUCGAAAAGCAGCUGGUCUUCAAUGAGAUGUGUUUGGCAAUUACGCUAUCCAGUAGUUCUUCGUGUUUGGCCAACCCGUACAGAAACAAACCAUUCGCCAGCAGGUGUAUAGACUUGGAAUAUUACUCUAUCAGCAAUUUGUCCGCGAGCUAGACGGUCACGCAACCACUCUGCCUUGGUUAAAUACCGAUGAGCUCAUCCAGGAACAUGGCGGAAAUUAUUUAGUUAAUUUAACAUGUUUUGAUGCACGGAAAGCCGGAGAACAAGUCCGUGCUGAUUGCGGUCGCCCGGACAAGGUUGUCGUAGAACAAGUUCACGCGGAUGCAACGGAUGACCGAGCUCCAGGGAACGACAACGCAUCGUCCACACACGGACCUUCCUUUGAAAGCUUUUCAAACGAUUCUAAACGACACUAAGUGCCCGAGCUGGUUGUGCGAAAGAAGAUCGAAAAUCGGGA